CCAUUUGACAAGGAUAAGGCCACCGGCCGGAUUACGAGCUUCUUCGAGCCCGGGACGGCUAUCAGCACGAAAGGGUGCCCCAAGCUGCUGUACUGCAAGUCGACCCUCCCAGGAACCGAAAACUUCGUGUCAAAUCCGCCACUACUGGAGAUGCCGGCAAAGAGGAGCGCAACCGACGCCCCAUCAGUUGAGCGCCCUUUCAAGUGCCUAGCUGCCAAGUGGCCGGCCACGGGCGGGAGUGUAAUGCUCGACUCUAGAACCAAAGACCACCACAGCUGUGCCGGGGAAGGGGAAGCAAAUUGUAGACUCAUCCAUCAGCCUUUGACUGCGGCGGACAAUGUGCGUUUCAGGGUCUCAACCCAAGUCGACCCGAGUAAAACCGCUACUUCAGGAGAAGGAUCCGGUGCGUCUACCCAAAUGACAUCCGAAGCCACUGUUGGAGCUACGGCCACUGCCAUCGACCAGCUGGGUGAGGGCGGUGACGCUGCAGAUGGCGCUCCAGGAUCUUCCUCAUUGGAUGCCGGUGCAAAGUCAUCCUCCUCGUUGGGUGCCGCUACCGAUCAGUCGGGUGAGGACGGUGAUACAACCGAUGCUGCUCUGGGGUCUUCUUUACCGGUGGAACAUGAGCGCAAGAAGAGCCUGGCCAAGUCCGACAAGUGGGCAGAGAAGGUGAAUGAGGCGGAAGAAACUGGCGGGAAGGCCCGGGUGGAUGAGUUGGAGCAGCGUCCAUAA
This 732-nucleotide long non-coding RNA is filed under the name Oryza sativa Indica Group (long-grained rice). RNAcentral's name for it is "lncRNA OsZS97_01G017530". Lineage: Eukaryota; Viridiplantae; Streptophyta; Magnoliopsida; Poales; Poaceae. The record is from RNAcentral.